UACGUAGGGUGCGAGCGUUGUCCGGAAUUAUUGGGCGUAAAGGGCUCGUAGGCGGUUUGUCGCGUCGGGAGUGAAAACCUCGGGCUUAACUCGGGGCUUGCUUUCGAUACGGGCAGACUGGAGGUAUGCAGGGGAGAACGGAAUUCCUGGUGUAGCGGUGAAAUGCGCAGAUAUCAGGAGGAACACCGGUGGCGAAGGCGGUUCUCUGGGCAUGGCCUGACGCUGAGGAGCGAAAGUGUGGGGAGCGAACAGG
RNAcentral lists this ribosomal RNA (253 nucleotides) under uncultured bacterium. RNAcentral describes it as "partial 16S ribosomal RNA". It matches the Rfam family "Bacterial small subunit ribosomal RNA", at positions 524 to 776 of the family's 1533-position model. The record is from RNAcentral.